Molecule: long non-coding RNA, 1608 nt
Organism: Stomoxys calcitrans (stable fly)
Lineage: Eukaryota; Metazoa; Arthropoda; Insecta; Diptera; Muscidae
Exons: 5
Source: RefSeq, a predicted model, not a curated record
AAUGCGUAAAGAUAAUGUAGUAUUUUUAAUGAAAAACAAGUGAAUUUCAUAUUGAAAUUAAAAGAAAGGUGCAAAGCAAAAUAUGUAAGUUGCCGACUGGUGGCGUUUUCAAUGCUUUAAGCGAUGUUUACAUAAAAAAUUAUCAGUGUCAAUAGUUUUUGUGAAAGUUGGAGUAGGGUUAAACUGAAAAAUGGAGACGAUAAAGACAAUUUCAAGAACAUUACAAGAACUCACACCACAUAGCAAAGAUGUGCAGCAACAGCAAAAUAACGAGUGGUAUAGGAGUUAUGGAAACUUUAUCCUUUAAUAUGGUUGAACUAUUAAAACUUUUGGUUGACUUCAAUCAAUACCUUGGCUCUACGAAUUGCCUUCCUUAACAUAAUGUUAUAAUAGCAUGGCACGAAACUGUUUGCUGGAGCAAAAUAGAUUACAAGUUAGUUGUUAGUAGCAUAAUAAACUUUGCUGAGAAGAGGAAACUAACAGUCCUGGACCUAAUUUCAAUGAUAUUUAUAAGCAUGAAAUUCCCAUACAAUAUGAUUGAAGAAACCGUUUUCUGGUAAGCAACAAUUCACUUCAAACAACCAGAGAUCAAUGAUGUCCCUGAAGCGAUGAAGCUCCAACAAGGACCAGUGUUUAUCGAUGGCAUGGUGAAUUCAACCGAGGUCGUAGUUCAUGAAGAUUGCCCAAAAUCAUAUGUUGUUCAGAAAAUCAUUGAUGCUGUGCGCCAACUGCUAUUGCAAGAUCGUCAUGUGAAAUUGAGACAACCUUAGGCAUUAGUGGGAACAGCAUACAUUCAAUAUUGCAUGAACAUUUGACCGUCAAAAAAAAUUGUUCGCAUUGGAUCCCACACAAUUUGUCAGUCGCCUAAAAAAAAGGCUCGUGUCGAUUGGUCGAAAGAAACGCUCCAAGAAUACGAAAUAACUGCAUUUUUAAGAAAUCAAAACAUCGAUUUGAUGAGUCAUCUGCCAUAUGGUCCUGUCUUGGCACCGCAUGACUUCUUUUUAUUCUCGCACGUAAAAAGUAAAAUGAGUGGUCAACGUUUUUUGACACAUGAAGAAGCGGUUGACGCAUUCAGAAUGUAUGUUUUGAAGAUACCUCAAUCAGAGUGGCAAAAGUACUUCGAAAAUUGGCUCAAACGCAUGCAAAAGUGUAUACAUAGAUCUUAAUGAGGAAUAUUUUGAAAAACAAUGAAGCGAUUUUCAAUGAUUAAUAUUUGUUUUUGUGUUCUCUAAUCCCGAAAUAUAAAAGGCAACCCCCGUAACAAUGAGUGUGAUUCGAUUCAAGUUUAAGCUCAGUGAUAGAUUAUUAUGUCGUUAGUUUCAGAAUAACAUCCUAAGCCGAAAUUGUCGUGUUCUUUUAUAUCUCUCUGUCCAUGUCUUUGCGACCAAAAUGCUGAUGGCAUUUGCAAUCCGAAAUAUAAAAGGUAACCCCCUUAUCAAUGAGUGCUAUCCGAUUCAAGUUUAAGCUCCGUGAUAGAUUAUUAUGUCGUUAGUUUCAGUUCCGUGUUCAUCUAUAUCUGUCUUUCCAUGUGUUUGCGACCAAAAUGCUAAUGGCAUUUGCAAUUCGUUCAUUAAAAAUUUUAAAUAUUGAAAUUGUCAAAUAUAGUCA